AGAAUCACAAAAUUCUGCACCUUGAAUCAAAGUUCAUGUCCAAACUGGAUGAAUAUACUCCUAAGCUUCUGGCACUCUUCCAUUCCAAGGGUGGAGCCCUAGGGUUGAGGUUGCAAGCUAUCCUACUCAAGGCUCUCAGCCAUCCUUGCAUAAACAUGACCAGAGAAGCUGUCAUUCGGUGCUUGAUGGUGUACCUCGGGGAAUCAACAGAUCAGCUCUUAAGAGUAUGAGGAUGCUGAUGGAGACAGUGUGUCACAGGACCUUGCAGUACAAAAGAUUCAAAAUCUACAAACUCAAGACAGAAACAUCAGAGGGUACUGCAGAAUUUGGUAUUGUGGUAGAAGGUGUGAAAGUUCUGACUGAAGGUUUGAAAGUUCUAACUUUGCAAGGGCAUGCUCCAUGCUUGUUGGAUUUGCAUAUGCAGUGGAUCUCGCUUUUCCCAAGGAGCUCAGGUACACAUUCGAAGUCUUUCAAAAACUCCUCCUUGAACUGGAUUGUUUACGGCUCUCUCCAAAAGUGAAUAGCCUCAAGAAUAAGCUAUUGGCUUAAGACAAGGGACUCGUGUAGAGUGAAAAGAAAUUGAAUGACUCUCAAAACUUCUACAUUGUUAUAUUUUAAAGCUUUGUAAAAUGCACAAGUUUAAUUGUUUUGUUUAAUUCAUUGCUCAGUUAAUCACAUGUUUCUUGUAGUCCAAUAACCAUACUAAUUUGAGGGAAGAGGCGUAAUGUUUUUGAUUUUAUAUUGACACAGACAACUGUUCAUAUGCAUUGUGAUAGCAUUGUGUAAACAAGUCU
Molecule: long non-coding RNA, 794 nt
Organism: Pygocentrus nattereri (red-bellied piranha)
Lineage: Eukaryota; Metazoa; Chordata; Actinopteri; Characiformes; Serrasalmidae
Exons: 3
Source: RefSeq, a predicted model, not a curated record